This 464-nucleotide ribosomal RNA is filed under the name uncultured bacterium. RNAcentral describes it as "partial 16S ribosomal RNA". It matches the Rfam family "Bacterial small subunit ribosomal RNA", at positions 355 to 830 of the family's 1533-position model. The record is from RNAcentral.
UGGGGAAUAUUGCACAAUGGGCGAAAGCCUGAUGCAGCGACGCCGCGUGCGGGAUGAAGGCCUUCGGGUUGUAAACCGCUUUUAAUUGGGAGCAAGCGAGAGUGAGUGUACCUUUUGAAUAAGCACCGGCUAACUACGUGCCAGCAGCCGCGGUAAUACGUAGGGUGCAAGCGUUAUCCGGAAUUAUUGGGCGUAAAGAGCUCGUAGGCGGUUUGUCACGCCUGGUGUGAAAGUCCAUCGCUUAACGGUGGAUCUGCGCCGGGUACGGGCAGGCUAGAGUGCAGUAGGGGAGAUUGGAAUUCCCGGUGUAACGGUGGAAUGUGUAGAUAUCGGGAAGAACACCAAUGGCGAAGGCAGAUCUCUGGGCUGUUACUGACGCUGAGGAGCGAAAGCAUGGGGAGCGAACAGGAUUAGAUACCCGUGGUAGUCCAUGCCGUAAACGGUGGAUGCUGGAUGUGGGACCC